GCCGCCGCCAGCGCGGUCAGCGCGCGCGGCCUGAAACGCCUCGGCCCCGGUAUCGCGGUGCCGGUCCAUGCGGCGGCU
This 78-nucleotide transfer RNA is filed under the name Achromobacter veterisilvae. RNAcentral describes it as "Achromobacter sp. LMG 30378 tRNA-Phe". The record is from RNAcentral. Lineage: Bacteria; Pseudomonadati; Pseudomonadota; Betaproteobacteria; Burkholderiales; Alcaligenaceae.